GCCAGCAGCCAUAUCACCCUACAACUCACAACUGGCAACCCACUGAAGCUAAGCAGGUGUGAGCCUGGUCAGUACCUGGAUGGGAGACCUCCUGGGAAAAACUAAGGUUGCUGCUGGAA
Ribosomal RNA from Lepisosteus oculatus (spotted gar), 119 nucleotides. The record is from Ensembl. NCBI's taxonomy places the organism in Eukaryota, Metazoa, Chordata, Actinopteri, Semionotiformes, Lepisosteidae.